Molecule: long non-coding RNA, 605 nt
Filed under: Helianthus annuus (common sunflower)
Lineage: Eukaryota; Viridiplantae; Streptophyta; Magnoliopsida; Asterales; Asteraceae
Description: sRNA HanXRQr2_Chr17g0813931
Source: RNAcentral
UUGAAACAUUUAACCCUAAAAGUCGCGCAUUCUUCAUCAUCAGCCGCUUUCACCUUCAUCUCGCUGUUCUACUGGUUUACAGCAGAAAUUCCGGCAGAGGCGUCGGAAUUGGCCGCCGGAGGUCGCUAUACGGUCGAUAUGUGGUCGAUAAGCGCCAACAGAUGAAGGAAGCAGCAAACAAGAAGACUACCUAAAGACCAAAUGCAGCUGCUUAGCAAUAUCAUAGCACAAUUAAAACGGAGUGGUCGUUAGCUCUUCAUUUAAGUGAUCUUUUUGUCAUUUCAUUGAGAAAGAUUCACUAAAUCUUUGUUCUUGUUAUACACUCUGUUGGUAGCCUUGUUUGAAUAUAUUUUUUUUAAUGGGUCAAGCGGGUAAGAUAAAAAAAUAGAUUAAGGCUUGGCAAACGGAUCGUGUUGGGUGGGUUUUGCAAACGUCGUGCAGCCGAAGCCGCUGUUGCGUGCGUCAUGCCGCUGCUGCUGCGUGCGCCGUGCAGCCGAAGACGCUGUUGCAUGCGUCGUGCAAUCGGGUAUUUUAGGCAUCUGAACACGACCCCAUUGGUACCCCUUACCCUCAUUGACUUUAAAUGACGUUAAUUUCAAUUUUAA